UAAACCCGCUACAAGCAUAAUGUUGGC
This 27-nucleotide small RNA is filed under the name Bombyx mori (domestic silkworm). RNAcentral's name for it is "ovarian small RNA-18147". The record is from RNAcentral. Lineage: Eukaryota; Metazoa; Arthropoda; Insecta; Lepidoptera; Bombycidae.